Molecule: ribosomal RNA, 537 nt
Filed under: uncultured Acidobacteriota bacterium
Lineage: Bacteria; Pseudomonadati; Acidobacteriota
Description: bacterial SSU rRNA
Rfam family: Bacterial small subunit ribosomal RNA
Source: RNAcentral
UUGAUCCUGGCUCAGAAUCAACGCUGGCGGCGUGCCUAACACAUGCAAGUCGAACGCGAAAGGGGAGCAAUCCCUGAUUAGAGUGGCAAACGGGUGAGUUACACGUGGGUGACCUGCCUUCGAGUGGGGGAUAACCUUCCGAAAGGAGGUCUAAUACCGCAUGACAUACCGUGUUUGGAUACACGGAUAUCAAAGCCGGUGAUCGCAAGACCUGGCGCUUGGAGAGGGGCCCGCGUCCGAUUAGCUAGUUGGUGAGGUAACGGCUCACCAAGGCUCCGAUCGGUAUCCGGCCUGAGAGGUCGGACGGACACACUGGAACUGAGACACGGUCCAGACUCCUACGGGAGGCUGCAGUGGGGAAUUGUUCGCAAUGGGCGAAAGCCUGACGACGCAACGCCGUGUGGAGGAUGAAGAAUUUCGGUUCGUAAACUCCUUUCGACCGAGAUGAAUACCCAUGGGUUUAAUACGCCUGUGGGCUGACAGUAUCGAGAGAAGAAGCUCCGGCUAACUCUGUGCCAGCAGCCGCGGUAAUAAGGU